This 396-nucleotide ribosomal RNA is filed under the name uncultured Succinivibrio sp. RNAcentral describes it as "bacterial SSU rRNA". It matches the Rfam family "Bacterial small subunit ribosomal RNA", at positions 355 to 743 of the family's 1533-position model. Lineage: Bacteria; Pseudomonadati; Pseudomonadota; Gammaproteobacteria; Aeromonadales; Succinivibrionaceae. The record is from RNAcentral.
UGGGGAAUAUUGCGCAAUGGGCGAAAGCCUGACGCAGCGACGCCGCGUGAGGGAUGAAGGUCCUCGGAUCGUAAACCUCUGUCAGAAGGGAAGAAUGUAGCGCGUGCCAAUCAGCGCGUUAUUGACGGUACCUUCAAAGGAAGCACCGGCUAACUCCGUGCCAGCAGCCGCGGUAAUACGGAGGGUGCAAGCGUUAAUCGGAAUAACUGGGCGUAAAGGGCAUGCAGGCGGUUCAUCAAGUAGGAUGUGAAAUCCCCGGGCUCAACCUGGGAACAGCAUACUAAACUGGUGGACUAGAGUAUUGCAGGGGGAGACGGAAUUCCAGGUGUAGCGGUGGAAUGCGUAGAUAUCUGGAAGAACACCAAAGGCGAAGGCAGUCUCCUGGGCAAAUACUGA